Molecule: ribosomal RNA, 205 nt
Filed under: Iotichthys phlegethontis
Lineage: Eukaryota; Metazoa; Chordata; Actinopteri; Cypriniformes; Leuciscidae
Description: partial 16S ribosomal RNA
Rfam family: Bacterial large subunit ribosomal RNA
Source: RNAcentral
CUCCUGCAAUUAGACUAAGUAUAGGAGGUCCAGCCUGCCCAGUGACUACGGGUUCAACGGCCGCGGUAUUUUGACCGUGCAAAGGUAGCGCAAUCACUUGUCUCUUAAAUAGAGACCUGUAUGAAUGGCUAGACGAGGGCUUAACUGUCUCCCCCUUCCAGUCAGUGAAAUUGAUCUAUCCGUGCAGAAGCGGGUGUAAAGAUAC